CCGGAGAAAACACCACGCUGACGGGCGUCGAUAAGCGGCGUGAACUCCACGUCCACAAGGCCAUGUAAGCUGUGUGGGGAACAACAAACCUUUCUGAGCUCGGCAGCUCUCGGUGGUGAGGAUGAUGAGAAGGGACAGGACGAGAACCCCGGCCCCUGUCGGCCCCCUGCCCACCAUUACCGCUCUGCCCAUAGCAGCCUGCAGUCGGAAUGCAUAAUGCUCGCCUCUGGACCAGCUGCACCGCUUCAGCCUGGACGGAGGAGACACACACACAAAAAAAAUAAUAAUAAAAAAAACAAGGUAAAUCCUCA
Molecule: long non-coding RNA, 311 nt
Organism: Austrofundulus limnaeus
Lineage: Eukaryota; Metazoa; Chordata; Actinopteri; Cyprinodontiformes; Rivulidae
Exons: 2
Source: RefSeq, a predicted model, not a curated record